RNAcentral lists this ribosomal RNA (324 nucleotides) under uncultured eukaryote. RNAcentral describes it as "partial 18S ribosomal RNA". It matches the Rfam family "Eukaryotic small subunit ribosomal RNA", at positions 1470 to 1796 of the family's 1831-position model. The record is from RNAcentral.
CCCUUAGAUGUUCUGGGCUGCACGCGCGCUACACUGAAGCUAUCAACACGUUUUCCCUCCCUGAGAAGGGCGGGUAACCUUUUGAAUCAGCUUCGUGGUAUGGAUCGGGGCUUGCAAUUGUUCCCCGUGAACCAGGAAUUCCUAGUAGACGCGAGUCAUAAGCUCGCAUCGAUUAAGUCCCUGCCCUUUGUACACACCGCCCGUCGCUACUACCGAUUGAACGUUUUAGUGAGGCAUUUGGACCGACGCAUCUCAGUUUAACCGCUGGUUUGUGUUGGAAAGACUUCCAAACUUGAGCGUUUAGAGGAAGUAAAAGUCGUAACA